CCUACGGGAGGCAGCAGUGGGGAAUAUUGGACAAUGGGCGAAAGCCUGAUCCAGCAAUGCCGCGUGAGUGAUGAAGGCCUUCGGGUCGUAAAGCUCUUUUACCAGGGAUGAUAAUGACAGUACCUGGAGAAUAAGCUCCGGCUAACUCCGUGCCAGCAGCCGCGGUAAUACGGAGGGAGCUAGCGUUGUUCGGAAUUACUGGGCGUAAAGAGUACGUAGGCGGUUAUUCAAGUCAGAGGUGAAAGCCCGGGGCUCAACCCCGGAACUGCCUUUGAAACUAGAUAACUAGAGUCUUGGAGAGGUUAGUGGAAUUCCGAGUGUAGAGGUGAAAUUCGUAGAUAUUCGGAAGAACACCAGUGGCGAAGGCGACUAACUGGACAAGUACUGACGCUGAGGUACGAAAGCGUGGGGAGCAAACAGGAUUAGAUACCCUGGUAGUCCACGCCGUAAACGAUGAUAACUAGUUGUUCGGUCACUUGGUGANNAGUGAGCAGACACGACAUAAUUAAUUACGUCCUCGGGUAGGUACGGUCGGCGAGAAGUAAAACUAAACAAAGAAAGUAAGUAGGCGNGUAAGAGUGCGACGACGACACGAGGAGGAGG
RNAcentral lists this ribosomal RNA (603 nucleotides) under uncultured bacterium. RNAcentral's name for it is "bacterial SSU rRNA". The stretch from base 1 to 516 matches the Rfam family "Bacterial small subunit ribosomal RNA", at positions 338 to 873 of the family's 1533-position model. The record is from RNAcentral.